Molecule: ribosomal RNA, 206 nt
Filed under: uncultured bacterium
Lineage: Bacteria
Description: partial 16S ribosomal RNA
Rfam family: Bacterial small subunit ribosomal RNA
Source: RNAcentral
CGCGUAGGCGGGCUACCAAGUCUGUGGUGAAAUCCCCCGGCUCAACCGGGGAACUGCCGUGGAUACUGGGAGCCUCGAGGGAGAUAGGGGCGUGCGGAACUGAUGGUGGAGCGGUGAAAUGCGUUGAUAUCAUCAGGAACUCCGGUGGCGAAGGCGGCACGCUGGAUCUCAUCUGACGCUGAGGCGCGAAAGUGUGGGAGCGAACA